CUACGGGGGGCAGCAGUGGGGAAUAUUGCACAAUGGGGGGAACCCUGAUGCAGCAACGCCGCGUGGAGGAUGACACAUUUCGGUGCGUAAACUCCUUUUAUAUAAGAAGAUAAUGACGGUAUUAUAUGAAUAAGCACCGGCUAACUCCGUGCCAGCAGCCGCGGUAAUACGGGGGGUGCAAGCGUUACUCGGAAUCACUGGGCGUAAAGAGCAUGUAGGCUGGUUUGUAAGUUGGAAGUGAAAUCCUAUGGCUUAACCAUAGAACUGCUUCCAAAACUACUUACCUAGAGUAUGGGAGAGGUAGAUGGAAUUUCUGGUGUAGGGGUAAAAUCCGUAGAGAUCAGAAGGAAUACCGAUUGCGAAGGCGAUCUACUGGAACAUUACUGACGCUCAGAUGCGAAAGCGUGGGGAGCAAACAGGAUUAGAUACCCCGGUAGUC
RNAcentral lists this ribosomal RNA (439 nucleotides) under uncultured bacterium. Its description in RNAcentral is "partial 16S ribosomal RNA". It matches the Rfam family "Bacterial small subunit ribosomal RNA", at positions 339 to 795 of the family's 1533-position model. The record is from RNAcentral.